AGGAUGAACGCUGGCGGCGUGCCUAACACAUGCAAGUCGAACGUCCUGUCUCGCAAGAGGCAGGGAGUGGCGGACGGGUGAGUACCACGUGGGUCAUCUACCGUGAGGUGAGGAAUACCGGCGAGAAAUCGCCGACAAGACCGCAUAGGCUCGAUGCAAGUCGAGCAAAGCUCUUUCGAGAGAGGGAGCGCCACACGAGGAGCCUGCGCCCGAUUAGCUAGCUGGUGGAGUAACGGUUCACCAGGGCGACGAUCGGUAGCUGGUCUGAGAGGACGAUCAGCCACACUGGGAUUGAGAACGGCCCAGACUCCUACGGGGGGCAGCAGUGAGGAAUUUCGUCAAUGGGGGCAACCCUGAACGAGCAACGCCGCGUGCAGGAGAAGGUUUCGGAUCGUAAACUGCUUUUCUCGGGAAGAGAACGGACGGUACCCGAGGAAUCAGCCCCGGCUAACUACGUGCCAGCAGCCGC
Molecule: ribosomal RNA, 469 nt
Filed under: uncultured bacterium
Lineage: Bacteria
Description: SSU rRNA
Rfam family: Bacterial small subunit ribosomal RNA
Source: RNAcentral